RNAcentral lists this ribosomal RNA (248 nucleotides) under uncultured Syntrophus sp. Its description in RNAcentral is "partial 16S ribosomal RNA". It matches the Rfam family "Bacterial small subunit ribosomal RNA", at positions 1136 to 1382 of the family's 1533-position model. The record is from RNAcentral. Lineage: Bacteria; Pseudomonadati; Thermodesulfobacteriota; Syntrophia; Syntrophales; Syntrophaceae.
CACUUUAAAGAGACUGCCGGUGUUAAACCGGAGGAAGGUGGGGAUGACGUCAAGUCCUCAUGGCCUUUAUGCCCAGGGCUACACACGUGCUACAAUGGGUGGUACAAAGAGCAGCCAGCUCGCGAGAGUGAGCAAAUCUCAAAAAGCCAUCCUCAGUUCGGAUUGAAGUCUGCAACUCGACUUCAUGAAGUUGGAAUCGCUAGUAAUCGCGGAUCAGCAUGCCCGCGGUCGAAUACGUUCCGGGCCUU